AAUGGGCGAAAGCCUGACGCAGCGACGCCGCGUGAGGGACGACGGCCUUCGGGUUGUAAACCUCUUUCAGCAGGGACGAAGGGAAACUGACUGUACCUGCAGAAGAAGCACCGGCUAACUACGUGCCAGCAGCCGCGGUAAUACGUAGGGUGCAAGCGUUGUCCGGAUUUAUUGGGCGUAAAGAGCUCGUAGGCGGCCUGUCACGUCGGAUGUGAAAACCCGGGGCUCAACCCCGGGCCUGCAUUCGAUACGGGCAGGCUAGAGGAUGGCAGGGGAGACUGGAACUCCUGGUGUAGCGGUGAAAUGCGCAGAUAUCAGGAAGAACACCGGUGGCGAAGGCGGGUCUCUGGGCCAUUCCUGACGCUGAGGAGCGAAAGCGUGGGGAGCAAA
This 390-nucleotide ribosomal RNA is filed under the name uncultured bacterium. RNAcentral's name for it is "bacterial SSU rRNA". It matches the Rfam family "Bacterial small subunit ribosomal RNA", at positions 370 to 772 of the family's 1533-position model. The record is from RNAcentral.